CAGCCGCCGCGGUAAUACGAAGGGUGCAAGCGUUACUCGGAAUUACUAGGCGUAAAGCGCGCGUAGGUGGUUUGUUAAGUUGGAUGUGAAAUCCCCGGGCUCAACCUGGGAACUGCAUUCAAAACUGACUGACUAGAGUAUGGUAGAGGGUGGUGGAAUUUCCGGUGUAGCAGUGAAAUGCGUAGAGAUCGGAAGGAACAUUUGUGGCGAAGGCGACUAUCUGGGCCAACACUGACACUGAGGCACGAAAGCGUGGGGAGCAAACAGGAUUAGAUACCCCAGUAGUCCCUGUCUCUUAUAC
Molecule: ribosomal RNA, 301 nt
Filed under: uncultured bacterium
Lineage: Bacteria
Description: partial 16S ribosomal RNA
Rfam family: Bacterial small subunit ribosomal RNA
Source: RNAcentral